GCCCGGGUGGUGAAAUUGGUAGACACUGGGGACUUAAAAUCCCCUGACCGUUAGGUCGUGCCGGUUCAAGUCCGGCCCCGGGCACCA
This 87-nucleotide transfer RNA is filed under the name Hydrocarboniclastica marina. RNAcentral's name for it is "tRNA-Leu". It matches the Rfam family "tRNA". Rfam says of the family: Transfer RNA (tRNA) molecules are approximately 80 nucleotides in length. Their secondary structure includes four short double-helical elements and three loops (D, anti-codon, and T loops). Lineage: Bacteria; Pseudomonadati; Pseudomonadota; Gammaproteobacteria; Alteromonadales; Alteromonadaceae. The record is from RNAcentral.